RNAcentral lists this unclassified non-coding RNA (3267 nucleotides) under Leishmania donovani. RNAcentral's name for it is "gene:LdHU3.12.1350(CDS-product:surface_antigen_pr otein_2_putative)". The record is from RNAcentral. Lineage: Eukaryota; Euglenozoa; Kinetoplastea; Trypanosomatida; Trypanosomatidae.
ACGUGCGUGCGCAUACACACCACCCCUCACCUCGCUGCUGCUGCUGUGACAUCUCUACGGACCCUGCCCAGUCGCUGCGCCCCCGCCGCUCGCCUCUGUCCCCCGCAGGAGGCUGCGUACGACGUGCCGGCCACCCCGCUCUGCCCGAUAAGCUGAACUGGCGCUCACGCCCGAGCAAUCCCGCCCACGGACCUGCUGCCGCCCCGCACUGCUCUUGACCCUGGCUGCGAAUGGCGCUGUGCGUGCGUCGGCUGGUGCUGGCGGCGACCCUCGCCGCUGUGGUGGCGCUGCUGCUGUGCACGAGCAGUGCGCCGGUGGCGCGUGCUGCUGAGACGGGCGGCUUCACUGCUGCGCAGCGGACGAACACGCUGACGGUGCUGGAGGCGUUUGGGCGUGCGAUCCCUGAGCUUGGGAAGAAGUGGACGGGCGACGACUUCUGCUCGUGGGAGUCCGUCAUGUGCGAUAGGACAGGAGUGUUCGUCUCGGGAAUCGGUGCGACGUAUGCCGGCACGCUGCCGGAGAUGCCUGUGGGCGUCGACUACACGGCCGUCAUGAUCAAGCAGCUCGACUUUUCUGAAGUGGGGCUGGGGCUGAGCGGGACGCUGCCGGCCAGCUGGAGCAGGCUGCAGGGACUGACCAAUCUUACGUUGUCGGGCUGCGGCGUGGGUGGUACGCUGCCCGCCUCAUGGAGGUUGCUGACUCAGCUGACGGAGUUGAGGAUAGAAAGAUGCGGGCUUUUCACCGGUACGCUCCCGCCUGAGUGGAGCUUGUUGAGGGCCCUGUGGUAUCUGGAUCUGAGGAAUAUGAAGCUGAGCGGGACGCUGCCGCCCCAGUGGAGCUCGAUGACAUCAUUACGGACGCUGUCGCUUCGAGACCUAAGCGACAUCAGCGGCACGCUGCCGCCCGAGUGGAAAUCGAUGAAAUCAAUUGUCUAUCUGUACGUUACCAAAUCGAGGGUCAGCGGCUCACUGCCCGUUGAGUGGAGGGAGAUGGCGACUGUGAGGGAGUUUUCGUUUCGGGAAUCGUCGUUGUCCGGCCCCCUCCCUCCUCAGUGGAGCAGCAUCAAGACGCUGAGGAGAGUGUACCUGGCGAACACUGACAUCUCCGGCACGCUGCCGUCCAGCUGGAAAGCCCUGACCGGUGUUGAUCACCUGCACUUAGAGGACACCAAGCUCUCCGGCACGCUGCCGCCUGAGUGGAUAUCGAUGUCGUCGCUUGCGCAGCUCUUUCUGAGCAGCUCGCUGGUUGAGGGCACGCUGCCGCCCCAGUGGAGCUCGAUGAAAAAGCUUCAGCUGCUGCUGCUCGCCAAUACGUUGCUGUCCGGCACGCUUCCUGCUGAGUGGAGUGCGCUGCAGUCGCUUGUUACACUGCAGCUGUCUGGCAGUAAGGUCUCCGGCACGCUGCCGGCCGGGUGGAGUGGGAUGUCGAAGGCCCAGUCCCUGCAGCUGGAGAACUGCGACCUGUCCGGCAAUCUCCCCUCCAAGUGGGCUGCGAUGCCGAAGCUGCUUCGUGUGGACCUGAACGGCAACCAGUUCUGCGGGUGUGUGCCGGACUCUUGGGCCCAGAAGGUUUCUCUCGAGGUGAACAUCGAGGACCAGCACAAGGGCAGGGACUGCAGGAUUGGUAACGACUGCCGCACGACUGCUGCUCCGCAAACGACCACUACCACCACCGUUAAACCGCCCACCACGACCACCACUGAACCGCCCACCACGACAACGACCACCACGACAACGACCACCACUAAACCGCCCACCACGACCACCACUAAACCGCCCACCACGACAACGACCACCACUGCACCGCCCACCACGACAACGACCACGACGACAACGACCACCACUAAACCGCCCACCACGACCACCACUAAACCGCCCACCACCACGACCACAACAACUACUCAGCCGCCGACUGCACCCCCCACCACGACCACUGAGGCAACGUCUGAACCCACGACCACUGCGAGCCCAACAGCCACGCCUACUCCUGCCCCCGAGACGGAGUGCGAGGUGGAUGGGUGUGAGGUGUGCGAGGGGGACUCCGCGGCGAGGUGCGCCAGGUGCGCUGCGGACUACUUCCUGACGAGCGAGAAGACGUGCCUGGUGUACUGCGAUGGCGGCGUUGUGGCCGCGACGAGCGGAGUGGCUGCUGCCGCUGUUGUGUGCAUGGCUGUGCUGCUGAGCGUGGGGCUGGCGGCGUGAGGAUGCCGCUGCUGUCUCGGUGUCGCUCCUCUGCCCUGACUCUCUCUCCCGCCCGCGUGUGUGCCUGUGGGCUGAUGGGGGCGGAGCGCGGGUGUGUGUGGAGCGGGGCAGCCGCUGCAGAGAGGGGGAGGGCGGUAGCCGAUGUGCAAGGGCCGCGGUGUUUGUGCGGCCAUGUGCGGGUGUGCGGCACACGCGGCGCUGCGGGCAUCGGCCUCGGACCGACAGCCCGCACCCCCUCCGUCGCCUCCACUUCUCCCCUCGAGCACGCGAUGGCGGCACUGGCGCCCCUUGCUCUGCUGUGCACUCGUGCGCCCGCCCCGCCGCUUCUUUUCCGUUUGUGUUGUGUUCUCUCUCCUCCCUCUCGUUGAUGUACGUCUGCGCGUGUGGCUGUGCUGGCACGCCUUGCCGCGCCCCUUGCGCCGCUGCCAUCGGCGGCUUCGUCGCUGACGCUGCCGCUCGCACGCGUGCUCGGGCCGUCUGUGCAGCAGCGGUGGUGUGCCGGAGUCGGCGGCACGCCGUCGAACCCUGAUUGGCGCCUCCGCCAGGUGCGACGGGGAAGCUGGGGGGAUGGGGAGGGCGUGGGUGCCCUCGUGCGCGGCAUGCGGGGAGGCGCGUGCGGCGGCGCUCUACUGCGCUGAGUAGUGAGGCUCGGUGCACGCGGCGCGAUGGCACGCAGCCUCGCUACCGGGCCACCCCGCUGUGCGUACGCAGCGGGUGAGCAGGCCCGUGCUCUCCCCUGCACCUUGCCCCUCUCCCCCACCCUCCUCUCUCGCAUGCCGGCGAGGGAGGGGUGGCACGUGCGCGUGUGCCGCUGCGCUUGCGAGUGCGUCUGUGCGUGGGCCCUCACCACGUGCUCCGGUCACGCCUUUUCGGCUGGCCACUCGCGGCGCUGAGGGCGGUGUGCCCCUCCCCCGAGCGCCGUCGCACUCUCUUCCGCGCGCCUGCGCGGGCUUCUUCGUGCGCUGUGCUCAGCCGUGCGCUCUCACCUCUUUCCCUUUUCAUUCGCUUGUCUUCUCUCUUCUCCCCCCGCACUGCGGUCUCCCCUCCUCUGCCGUGCGGUGCGCAG